AUAGAACUUUACUUGCUCUGAUAUCAUUAGUUGCUAAUUAUUUCACUUCUUUUAUUUGCUCUAUCUCCUGCUUUACUUCCGCUUUUAUUGUAGACGCCUUAUAUGUGUAGACAUAUGGCGGGUCUGGGCACGCUACCGGGAAGGCCUUCGCCGGUCCCGGGGCGUGACAGAUUAAAUUGGUAUCAGAGCCUAGGGUUGAGUCUUAGUGGACCUAGCAAACCUUAGGCCGGUUGGACUGUAGGAAAUAGGCUCGUGAGAGACGAGGUCUA
RNAcentral lists this long non-coding RNA (269 nucleotides) under Ananas comosus (pineapple). RNAcentral describes it as "long non-coding RNA (ACOM_LNC037541)". The record is from RNAcentral. Lineage: Eukaryota; Viridiplantae; Streptophyta; Magnoliopsida; Poales; Bromeliaceae.